AGGUUAAGUGAAUAAGGGCGCACGGAGGAUGCCUUGGCACUAGGAGUCGAAGAAGGACGCGACAAACGGCGAAACGCCUCGGGGAGCUGUAAGUGAGCUUUGAUCCGGGGAUAUCCGAAUGGGGAAACCCGCUAGUGGUUAUACGCUAGCACCAUAUGGUGAAUACAUAGCCAUAUAGGAGACAGACCCAGGGAACUGAAACAUCUAAGUACCUGGAGGAAAAGAAAGAAAAAUCGAUUCCCGUAGUAGCGGCGAGCGAAGUGGGAAGAGCCCAAACCGGCACUAGCCGGGGUUGUAGGACCUUCAUAAUUGACAAAUCAUGAUAGCCGAGUGGUCUGGGAAGGCCAACCGGAGAGGGUGAGAGUCCCGUAGGUGAAAUUGUGAAAUGCAUGGAAGGAAUCCUGAGUACGGCGGGACACGUGGAAUCCCGUCGGAAUCAACGAGGACCAUCUCGUAAGGCUAAAUACUACCUAGUGACCGAUAGUGAACCAGUACCGUGAGGGAAAGGUGAAAAGAACCCCGGAAGGGGAGUGAAAGAGAACCUGAAACCGUGUGCCUACAAAUAGUCAGAGCCCGUUAAUGGGUGAUGGCGUGCCUUUUGUAGAAUGAACCGGCGAGUUACGAUAUCGUGCGAGGUUAAGCAGAAGAUGCGGAGCCGUAGCGAAAGCGAGUCUGAAUAGGGCGAAGAGUACGAUGUUGUAGACCCGAAACCGUGUGAGCUAGCCAUGAGCAGGCUGAAGGUCAGGUAACACUGACUGGAGGGCCGAACCAGGGCACGUUGAAAAGUGCUUGGAUGACUUGUGGCUAGGGGUGAAAUUCCAAUCGAACACGGAUAUAGCUGGUUCUCUCCGAAAUAGCUUUAGGGCUAGCCUCGAUGGCAAGUCUACUGGAGGUAGAGCACUGAAUGGGUGAUGGCCCCACCUCGGGGUACUGAUCUCAAUCAAACUCCGAAUGCCAGAUAGAUAUCAUCGGGAGUCAGACUGUGGGUGAUAAGGUCCAUGGUCAAAAGGGAAAGAGCCCAGACCGCCAGCUAAGGCCCCCAAGUGUCCGUUAAGUGGAAAAGGAUGUGGAGAUGCACAGACAACUAGGAGGUUGGCUUAGAAGCAGCCAUCCUUUAAAGAGUGCGUAAUAGCUCACUAGUCGAGUGACUCUGCGCCGAAAAUGUACCGGGGCUAAACG
This 1179-nucleotide ribosomal RNA is filed under the name Bacteroides uniformis. RNAcentral's name for it is "partial 23S ribosomal RNA". It matches the Rfam family "Bacterial large subunit ribosomal RNA", at positions 1 to 1188 of the family's 2925-position model. The record is from RNAcentral. Lineage: Bacteria; Pseudomonadati; Bacteroidota; Bacteroidia; Bacteroidales; Bacteroidaceae.